GAUGAACGCUAGCGGCAGGCUUAAUACAUGCAAGUCGUGGGGCAGCAGGUUUGUAGCAAUACAGAUGCUGGCGACCGGCAAACGGGUGCGGAACACGUACAGAACCUUCCUUUGAGCGGGGAAUAGCCCAGAGAAAUUUGGAUUAAUACCCCAUAGUAUAAUGAAGUGGCAUCACUUUAUUAUUAAAGAUUUAUCACUCGAAGAUGGCUGUGCGGCUGAUUAGGUAGUUGGCGGGGUAAAGGCCCACCAAGCCUGCGAUCAGUAACUGGUGUGAGAGCACGACCAGUCACACGGGCACUGAGACACGGGCCCGACUCCUACGGGAGGCAGCAGUAAGGAAUAUUGGUCAAUGGAGGCAACUCCGAACCAGCCAUGCCGCGUGGAGGAUGAAGGUCCUCUGGAUUGUAAACUUCUUUUAUAUGGGACGAAAAAAGGCUUUUCUAAGUCGUCUGACGGUACCAUAUGAAUAAGCACGGCUAACUCCGUGCCAGCAGCCG
This 497-nucleotide ribosomal RNA is filed under the name uncultured bacterium. RNAcentral's name for it is "bacterial SSU rRNA". It matches the Rfam family "Bacterial small subunit ribosomal RNA", at positions 28 to 517 of the family's 1533-position model. The record is from RNAcentral.